This 497-nucleotide ribosomal RNA is filed under the name uncultured bacterium. RNAcentral's name for it is "partial 16S ribosomal RNA". It matches the Rfam family "Bacterial small subunit ribosomal RNA", at positions 28 to 507 of the family's 1533-position model. The record is from RNAcentral.
GAUGAACGCUGGCGGCGUGCCUAAUACAUGCAAGUCGAGCGAACGGACGGGAAGCUUGCUUCUCUGAUGUUAGCGGCGGACGGGUGAGUAACACGUGGAUAACCUACCUAUAAGACUGGGAUAACUUCGGGAAACCGGAGCUAAUACCGGAUAAUAUUUUGAACCGCAUGGGUAAAAAGUGAAAGACGGUAUUGCGGGCACUUAUAGAUGGAUCAGCGCUGCAUUAGCUAGUUGGUAAGGUAACAGCUUACAAAGGUUACGAUGCAUCACAGACCUGAGAGGUUGACUCUUCUCACUGCACCUUAGCCGCGUUCCCGAUUCCUACGGGAGGCACCAGUAGGCAAUCUCGCGCCAUGGGCGUAAGCCCGGCGGAGCAACCCCCCGUGUGUUCUCAAGGUCCUCUGAUCGUAAAACCCUGUUAUUAGGGAAGAACAUAUGUGUAAGUAACUGUGCACAUCUUGACGGUACCUAAUCAGAAAGCCACGGCUCUCUACGUG